RNAcentral lists this long non-coding RNA (447 nucleotides) under Dasypus novemcinctus (nine-banded armadillo). RNAcentral's name for it is "lncRNA (ENSDNOG00000052088.1)". Lineage: Eukaryota; Metazoa; Chordata; Mammalia; Cingulata; Dasypodidae. The record is from RNAcentral.
CUUCAUCAAAGGUCUACUUAAUUUAUUUAGCAAUUUAUCCCAGUUUGAUCUGGAUCUCAGCCAUUUAGAGUUGUGAUAAAAAAUUUAAGGUGUUGAACUCAUUUUCAUGUACUGCCUGAAGUCUGGAUUAGUAUUUCUGGUUGUUUUCAUGUUGUGCUCAUAGAUGGCCGUGAUGUCAGUUUUUCCAUGAUCAUAAUUUUUUAGGUCAUCCCAGACAUAAAGAAAUCAUUUGCUGGGUCACAAGUGGUUGCGGACACACAUUCAAAACUCUUGAAAAAAAACCCAAAACACUCCACCAGAGAGAUUAUUGUAAGGAAAUUCUCUGGGCCAGAGCCGGAAACAGGCUUUAUUGGAGGAAAACCUGCCGGGUGGUACUCUCAGAUCCAGUACUCUAAACCUGAAAGUGGACAUGCAUUGUUAAGCUUUGCUCUCCUUCUGCUUGCCUGA